UACGGGGGGGGGCAAGCGUUGUUCGGAAUUACUGGGCGUAAAGGGCUCGUAGGCGGCCAACUAAGUCAGACGUGAAAUCCCUCGGCUUAACCGGGGAACUGCGUCUGAUACUGGAUGGCUUGAGUUUGGGAGAGGGAUGCGGAAUUCCAGGUGUAGCGGUGAAAUGCGCAGAUAUCAGGAGGAACACCGGUGGCGAAGGCGGGUCUCUGGGCCGAUACUGACGCUGAGGAGCGAAAGCGUGGGGAGCGAACAGG
Molecule: ribosomal RNA, 254 nt
Filed under: uncultured bacterium
Lineage: Bacteria
Description: partial 16S ribosomal RNA
Rfam family: Bacterial small subunit ribosomal RNA
Source: RNAcentral